GCACAAGCGGUGGAGCAUGUGGUUUAAUUCGACGCAACGCGAAGAACCUUACCAGGGCUUGACAUCCCCUGACCGCGUAUGAAAGUACGUUUUCACCCUCGGGUGACAGGGAGACAGGUGGUGCAUGGUUGUCGUCAGCUCGUGUCGUGAGAUGUUGGGUUAAGUCCCGCAACGGGCGCAACCCUUACGUUUAGUUGCUAACGCGUGAAGGCGAGCACUCUAGACGAACUGCCGUUGACAAAACGGAGGAAGGUGGGGAUGACGUCAAAUCAUCAUGCCCCUUAUGUUCUGGGCUACACACGUGCUACAAUGGCCGGUACAGACGGACGCAAAGCCGCGAGGUGGAGCAAAUCCUAAAAAGCCGGUCUCAGUUCGGAUUGCAGGCUGCAAUUCGCCUGCAUGAAGUCGGAAUCGCUAGUAAUCGCAGGUCAGCAUACUGCGGUGAAUACGUUCUCGAGUCCU
Molecule: ribosomal RNA, 462 nt
Filed under: uncultured Pelotomaculum sp.
Lineage: Bacteria; Bacillati; Bacillota; Clostridia; Eubacteriales; Desulfotomaculaceae
Description: bacterial SSU rRNA
Rfam family: Bacterial small subunit ribosomal RNA
Source: RNAcentral